This 1568-nucleotide long non-coding RNA is filed under the name Salvia miltiorrhiza (redroot sage). Its description in RNAcentral is "long non-coding RNA (SMIL_LNC005302)". The record is from RNAcentral. Lineage: Eukaryota; Viridiplantae; Streptophyta; Magnoliopsida; Lamiales; Lamiaceae.
UUUCAGAAUCUCACGCCUUCUUCCUUUGUUCUUCCUUCACUCCAGAACCCUUCUUCUUCAUUCUUUCAGAAUCGCAAGCGGACCUCUGGCCACUGUGGCAACCUUCGUUCUUCGUGUUGCCACAGGCGUGAAUGAGCUUGAUGGGUGAAUCGAGCACACCACUUUCAGGAUAAAAUCGGGCAAGCGAAUUUUGGGCGAAAUUUGGGGAAUAAUUGAGGGUUUUAAGGGAGAGUUAAAGAAUUCUUGUGUUCUUCGAUUUCCGUAAGUUUCCUCAUGUUUUUGAAUUGUGUAAUCCAUAAUUCUUGAAUUCUUAUGUUUAUGAUGAUAUGUAAUUUUUUUUUUUCGGCCCUAAAAAGCCACGUAGGGAUCGUAUUAGGAUUUUCGUAGAUCUACUUCACGAUUUUGAUGUCGAAAUUUUUUUCCGGAAUAAAAAUAAGAAAAAAUUGAUACGUUGAAUACUUCUAUGCAUUUAUCGGAACAAUAAGAUAUAUUCGUUAAAAUGCUAAUACAUUGAGACAUAAAGUAAUAUUUAUUAUUUUUUAUUUUAUUAAAUUGUUUAAAAGAAAUUGAUUGUCAAGUCACACGUCAGUAUGUCACAGUGCGCAUCCAUGAUUAUAAAUAAAAAGCAAAUUUUUUUUUGGCAGGCACAAAUAAUUCAGUUUUGAUACAUAAAUUUCUCUUAAUUUUUUUGCAUUUACCUAAGGGCCAUUUUCAUUAAAUGCUAAAAUGAUUAGAUAAAAAGAAUUGGGUAAAUAUCAAUUUUUGGCCCAUCGUUUGGGCUUUUCUCAAAUAUAUCCCACCCUAAGCAUAAUUACAAAACAAUAUCCAUCAUUUCAUUUUUUCUUGUUUAUGGCCCGCAAAAAUAUUCCGACCAUCGGUAAAUGACGUGUUCUGGCCAAGUGCCAUGACAGCUUCACAAAGCAUAAUUACAAAGCAAUAUUGUUGUUGUCUUAAACCUAAAUAUGGAACUUGAUUAAGUGCAUAUCUGCUACGCUUCACAAAAAUAAUACCAGCUUUAGAAAUCAUUGUCUUUGGACGAAAUUGUGCCAGCAGCUUGUUUUAAGUUGUCCAACUUUUGGAUUUUGAGUUUGUCGAACACUUCGUUAAUAAAACUUAUCAUGACUCCUACGUAUUGUCAUUCUUAAAAUUUUCAAAGUUUGCUUUGUAAACUUACAGUCAAAUAUGGUAAUCUAGUUUCAUCCCUACAAUCUGCUCAGUGGCGAAGAUGUGGAGACGGCGAACUGUCUCUCCCCUUGGGCGGUGGAGAAGGCGAUGGGCUGACCGUUGAAGGAGAGGGAGAAACGGUCGACGGCAUCGUCCCAUGCGGCGGUUUUCUGGGCGGCAAUGAAGAGGCAGUGAUCACCGAAGAGAAGGGCGAAGGGUUGAAUCCAAGUGAAGUCUCUCUUCACGAUUUAUUGUUGAAAGAUUGAAGAAAGAAGUUAGGAUUUAAUUAAUUAAUGACGUGUUUCUUAUAUUUAUUUUUUUAUUUUAUAAUUUCAAGUGUACUGUUGACAUGGCACUUGACCGAAACAUAUCAUUUAUCUAUGGUCGGAAUAUUUUACGGGGCA